Molecule: ribosomal RNA, 480 nt
Filed under: uncultured bacterium
Lineage: Bacteria
Description: partial 16S ribosomal RNA
Rfam family: Bacterial small subunit ribosomal RNA
Source: RNAcentral
GACGAACGCUGGCGGCGUGCUUAACACAUGCAAGUCGAGCGAUGAAACACCUUCGGGUGCGGAUUAGCGGCGAACGGGUAAGGAACACGUGAGGAAUCUGCCUUCCACUCUGGGAUAACUCCGGGAAACCGGGGCUAAUACCGGAUACUUUCAACUGGCGGCAUCGCCGGUUGAAGAAAGUUUUUCGGUGGAAGAUGACCUCGCGGCCUAUCAGCUUGUUGGUGAGGUAAAGGCUCACCAAGGCGACGACGGGUAGCCGGCCGGAGAGGGCGGCCGCGCAGACUGGGACGGAGACACGGCCCAGACUGCUGCGGGAGGCAGCAGUGGGGAAUAUUGGGCAAUGGAGGAAACUCUGACCCAGCGACGCCGCGUGAGGGAUGAAGGCCUUCGGGUUGUAAACCUCUUUCAGCAGGGAAUAAGCGAAAGUGAAGGUACCUGCAGAAGAAGCACCGGCUAACUAUGUGCCAUCCGCCGCCGUAA